RNAcentral lists this ribosomal RNA (466 nucleotides) under uncultured bacterium. Its description in RNAcentral is "partial 16S ribosomal RNA". It matches the Rfam family "Bacterial small subunit ribosomal RNA", at positions 28 to 506 of the family's 1533-position model. The record is from RNAcentral.
GACGAACGCUGGCGGCGUGCUUAACACAUGCAAGUCGAACGGAAAGGCCUCUUUCGGGGGGUACUCGAGUGGCGAACGGGUGAGUAACACGUGAGUAACCUGCCCUUGACUUUGGGAUAACUUCAGGAAACUGGGGCUAAUACCGGAUAGGAGCUCCUGCUGCAUGGUGGGGGUUGGACAGUUUCGGCGGUUGGGGAUGGACUCGCGGCUUAUCAGCUUGUUGGUGGGGUAGUGGCUUACCAAGGGUUUGACGGGUAGCCGGCCUGAGAGGGUGACCGGCCACAUUGGGACUGAGAUACGGCCCAGACUCCUACGGGAGGCAGCAGUGGGGAAUAUUGCACAAUGGGUUGAAGCCUGAUGCAGCAACGCCGUGUGCGGGAUGACGGCCUUCGGGUUGUAAACCGCUUUCGCUCAUGACGAAGCUUUGUGUGACGGUAGUGGGUAAAGAAGCACCGGCUAACUACGU